GCCCAGCUCAAUGGAUACACCAGCGGACUUCUAAUCCGCAGGUCGAGGGUUCGAAUCCUUCCGGGCG
This 67-nucleotide transfer RNA is filed under the name Acidobacteriota bacterium. RNAcentral's name for it is "Acidobacteria bacterium (sponge metagenome) tRNA-Ser". It matches the Rfam family "tRNA". From Rfam's summary of the family: Transfer RNA (tRNA) molecules are approximately 80 nucleotides in length. Their secondary structure includes four short double-helical elements and three loops (D, anti-codon, and T loops). Further hydrogen bonds mediate the characteristic L-shaped molecular structure. tRNAs have two regions of fundamental functional importance: the anti-codon, which is responsible for specific mRNA codon recognition, and the 3' end, to which the tRNAs corresponding amino acid is attached (by aminoacyl-tRNA synthetases). tRNAs cope with the degeneracy of the genetic code in two manners: having more than one tRNA (with a specific anti-codon) for a particular amino acid; and 'wobble' base-pairing, i.e. permitting non-standard base-pairing at the 3rd anti-codon position. Lineage: Bacteria; Pseudomonadati; Acidobacteriota. The record is from RNAcentral.